RNAcentral lists this long non-coding RNA (379 nucleotides) under Cricetulus griseus (Chinese hamster). RNAcentral describes it as "lncRNA (ENSCGRG00015041697.1)". The record is from RNAcentral. Lineage: Eukaryota; Metazoa; Chordata; Mammalia; Rodentia; Cricetidae.
AAACUUCUGAAGCCCAGGGUUCCUGUGUGGGAGCCGGGAGUCUUGGUGAGGAAGACGGGAGGUGAGGACUGUGUUAUUUACUUCAUCCUCUUUUUUUGCUGACAUCCUUUGGUCUCCAGAGUUCGGGGGUCUGGGAAUCAAACUCAAAGUUCUUUGUGGACCACACAAGCAUCUAUCACCGAGCUACAUUUCUCAGCCUUUGUAUGUUUUCUUUCCUGCAAACCAUUUUAUGCAUUUAGUCCCAGAAAGCCUCAGCUAAACUUGUAGGCACUUUAGCAUUCAUAUUUACUGUCACUAUGACAACACAUCUCACAGAACCUCUAUUCCUCUAGCUUUUAUGCCUUAAUGGCUUGCUAUUUAUUCUGAUCAUGGAUAUAAU